UAAGCGACUAAGCGUACACGGUGGAUGCCUAGGCAAUCAGAGGCGAUGAAGGACGUGCUAAUCUGCGAAAAGCGUCGGUAAGGUGAUAUGAACCGUUAUAACCGACGAUGUCCGAAUGGGGAAACCCAGUGCAAUUCGUUGCACUAUCGUUUGAUGAAUCCAUAGUCAAACGAGGCGAACCGGGGGAACUGAAACAUCUCAGUACCCCGAGGAAAAGAAAUCAACCGAGAUUCCCCUAGUAGCGGCGAGCGAACGGGGAGCAGCCCAGAGUCUUAAUCAGCAUCAGCAUCAGGAGAACGGUCUGGAAAGGCCGGCAAUAAAGGGUGAUAGCCCCGUAUCCGAAGGUGUUGGUGUUGUGAACUCGACGAGUAGGGCGGGACACGUGUUAUCCUGUCUGAAUAUGGGGGGACCAUCCUCCAAGGCUAAAUACUCCUGAUUGACCGAUAGUGAACCAGUACCGUGAGGGAAAGGCGAAAAGAACCCCGGCGAGGGGAGUGAAAUAGAACCUGAAACCGUGUACGUACAAGCAGUGGGAGCCUUGAUUUAUCAGGGUGACUGCGUACCUUUUGUAUAAUGGGUCAGCGACUUAUAUUCUGUAGCAAGGUUAACCGAAUAGGGGAGCCGUAGGGAAACCGAGUCUUAACUGGGCGAAUGAGUUGCAGGGUAUAGACCCGAAACCCGGUGAUCUAGCCAUGGGCAGGUUGAAGGUUGGGUAACACUAACUGGAGGACCGAACCGACUAAUGUUGAAAAAUUAGCGGAUGACUUGUGGCUGGGGGUGAAAGGCCAAUCAAACCGGGAGAUAGCUGGUUCUCCCCGAAAGCUAUUUAGGUAGCGCCUCGUGAACUCAUCUUCGGGGGUAGAGCACUGUUUCGGCUAGGGGGUCAUCCCGACUUACCAACCCGAUGCAAACUACGAAUACCGAAGAAUGUUAUCACGGGAGACACACGGCGGGUGCUAACGUUCGUCGUGAAGAGGGAAACAACCCAGACCGCCAGCUAAGGUCCCAAAGUCAUGGUUAAGUGGGAAACGAAGUGGGAAGGCUCAGACAGCCAGGAUGUUGGCUUAGAAGCAGCCAUCAUUUAAAGAAAGCGUAAUAGCUCACUGGUCGAGUCGGCCUGCGCGGAAGAUGUAACGGGGCUAAACCAUGCACCGAAGCUGCGGCAGCGACAUGUAAAUGUUGUUGGGUAGGGGAGCGUUCUGUAAGCCUGUGAAGGUGUGCUGCGAGGCAUGCUGGAGGUAUCAGAAGUGCGAAUGCUGACAUAAGUAACGAUAAUGCGGGUGAAAAACCCGCACGCCGGAAGACCAAGGGUUCCUGUCCAACGUUAAUCGGGGCAGGGUGAGUCGACCCCUAAGGCGAGGCAGAAAUGCGUAGUCGAUGGGAAACAGGUUAAUAUUCCUGUACUGGUGAUAAUUGCGAUGGGGGGACGGAGAAGGCUAGGCUGGCCGGGCGACGGUUGUCCCGGUUUAAGGAUGUAGGUGGGUGAAUUAGGCAAAUCCGGUUCGCUAUACACUGAGGUCUGAUGACGAGUCACUACGGUGGCGAAGUAGCUCAUGCCCCGCUUCCAGGAAAAGCCUCUAAGCUCUAGAUUAUCAUUAAUCGUACCCCAAACCGACACAGGUGGUCAGGUAGAGAAUACUCAGGCGCUUGAGAGAACUCGGGUGAAGGAACUAGGCAAAAUGGUGCCGUAACUUCGGGAGAAGGCACGCUGGCACUAGGUGAAGUCCCUUGCGGAUGGAGCUGAAGCCAGUCGCAGAUACCAGCUGGCUGCAACUGUUUAUUAAAAACACAGCACUGUGCAAACACGAAAGUGGACGUAUACGGUGUGACGCCUGCCCGGUGCUGGAAGGUUAAUUGAUGGGGUUAUCCGUAAGGAGAAGCUCUUGAUCGAAGCCCCAGUAAACGGCGGCCGUAACUAUAACGGUCCUAAGGUAGCGAAAUUCCUUGUCGGGUAAGUUCCGACCUGCACGAAUGGCGUAAUGAUGGCCAGGCUGUCUCCACCCGAGACUCAGUGAAAUUGAACUCGCUGUGAAGAUGCAGUGUACCCGCGGCAAGACGGAAAGACCCCGUGAACCUUUACUAUAGCUUGACACUGAACAUUGAGCCUUGAUGUGUAGGAUAGGUGGGAGGCUUUGAAGUGUGGACGCCAGUCUGCAUGGAGCCAACCUUGAAAUACCACCCUUUAAUGUUUGAUGUUCUAACGUUGCCCCGUGAUCCGGGGUGCGGACAGUGUCUGGUGGGUAGUUUGACUGGGGCGGUCUCCUCCCAAAGCGUAACGGAGGAGCACGAAGGUUGGCUAAGCAUGGUCGGACAUCAUGCGGUUAGUGCAAAGGCAUAAGCCAGCUUGACUGCGAGAGUGACGGCUCGAGCAGGUACGAAAGUAGGUCUUAGUGAUCCGGUGGUUCUGAAUGGAAGGGCCAUCGCUCAACGGAUAAAAGGUACUCCGGGGAUAACAGGCUGAUACCGCCCAAGAGUUCAUAUCGACGGCGGUGUUUGGCACCUCGAUGUCGGCUCAUCACAUCCUGGGGCUGAAGUAGGUCCCAAGGGUAUGGCUGUUCGCCAUUUAAAGUGGUACGCGAGCUGGGUUUAGAACGUCGUGAGACAGUUCGGUCCCUAUCUGCCGUGGGCGUUGGAAGAUUGAAAGGGGCUGCUCCUAGUACGAGAGGACCGGAGUGGACGCACCGCUGGUGUUCGGGUUGUCAUGCCAAUGGCACUGCCCGGUAGCUAAGUGCGGAAGAGAUAACCGCUGAAAGCAUCUAAGCGGGAAACUUGCCUUGAGAUGAGUCUUCCCUGACUCUUUAAGGGUCCUAAAGGAACGUUUAAGACGAAGACGUUGAUAGGCUGGGUGUGUAAGCGUAGCGAUACGUUGAGCUAACCAGUACUAAUGAACCGUGAGGCUUAACCU
RNAcentral lists this ribosomal RNA (2905 nucleotides) under Providencia stuartii. RNAcentral's name for it is "bacterial LSU rRNA". It matches the Rfam family "Bacterial large subunit ribosomal RNA". The record is from RNAcentral. Lineage: Bacteria; Pseudomonadati; Pseudomonadota; Gammaproteobacteria; Enterobacterales; Morganellaceae.